UCCUUCUCCAGGGAAUCUUCUCGACCCAGGGAUCGAACCCAGGUCUCUCGCAUUGUAGACAGACGCUUUACCAUCUGAGCCACCAGGGAAGUCCCUGGUGAGUGUUUAAUUGAGUGUUUAACACUUUCAGCCCUUCAGGGCAUAGUUAAGGGAUUACAGCUGGAUGCUUUAAGGCUCUGAUCUUUUGGUGCAAAAUGAGGCAAGGAUGCAAAUGAAGACCUGGCAGUUUUUCUUGGACUCGUCAUAUUUCAGCUUCCUAAUAUGCACAUGCUCAGAAGUCUCAGGAAAGUCUCACAGGACUUCCUAAUCACAUAGUCCAAUUCUCACUGUUUUAUUAUGAUGCCUUCCAGAAUCAGCAAAAAUAAAACUUUACACUUUUAAAAAAUGAUUGGAACAUAUUUUUAAACUCUAACAAGGUGUUUAAUUUAGAAUGAAAGAACAAAAACACACACUGCCAAAACCAAGAUGAACCUGAGGUUAUGAAAUCUGUGUACUUUUACAACAAUAGGCAUGUAAAUGAGUAUAUGUGUGUGGUAUGGGUGGAGAGCUGGGGAAGAGAACCUUAGUUUUUCAGUUCUGUUUUCUGACAAUAUGUUAUUACCAGUAUUUGGUGGAGUAACUGGCACAUGAUGUCAUUCAAAACCAUUUGCAAAAUAAGUUAAUCAUUUCAGAGAAUCUCACACUGUUUUAGGGCCAGUUUACAUGUCUUUUUUACAGGUUGUUCUGCCUGUAGAACCAUCUCAUUUCCGUAAAUUGCCAGAAUUUACAGGCUAGAAGAAGGAAGAUGAGUUGGUGUAAAGAUCAAAAGAAGCCAGAAAGUUGGGCUAAGAAAUUAAGGGGAGUCAAGAGGUGAAGGACUAACCGGUGUCUGUUGAGUCUGGAAAUUUCUAGGCCUCUGUGCUCAGCAGAGGAAGUACAAGAGCAUGAUGAUUAAGAGACAGAACUCUAGAGUUAGACUUCUUGAGUUCAAAUCCCAGAUCUACUCUUGACAGUACGUUAAGCAGUUGGCUGACUUUCUCUCCACCUCAGGUUUUCAUCUGUGAAGUGAGGAUACUUCACAGGUCUCUGUAAGCUGACUCCCUGCCCGUGGGGAAUGCUUGCUUCCAAGUGCUGGUCUCUGAGUAAUGAAGGGUUUUUGGUGAAAAGUAACGCAGUCCAGUCAUGAUUUAGAUAGUCCAGUACUACUAAGUGACUUCUUUCAAUAUUUUUGCCUUCUUUCUCAUGUUAAAUAGGAAUAACACAAUCUGUUUCUUGAACCUUAUAGGAUAUAUUUUGGAAGAUUUUCACAAGAUGAUAAAGAACAACAAAACAUGUGAAGGUGUUAUUUUUAAGGUCAAACACUUUUAUCAUACUUUGCAUGUGUAUUCCCAUGUAUUCCAGGGCACCACAGCAUCUGAUGUCUGAAAAUUGUGGCAAGAGUUUACCUUCUUGAGUAUCUCCACAAGGAGAGGAAGUAAAUCACUCCAAUUUUUUAAAAAGAAGAGCUUCAUACUAAAGAUAAAAAGUCUUCAGGCUUCCAGUCAGCUGUUUCUCUCUUUGGUCAGCCUCGUCCUUCUAUCUCCACUCUCCGUGAGUGGUCAGUGUCCCCAACAUGGAUGGCUCGGUUCUUAUCUUGUAUUCCUUCCUGAGACUUACUGAAUUCUCAAAUGUGAAGGCACUUUUCUGAACUUACUUUCGGUGUUUGUCGGUGGUGGAGUGAAGGAUCCUCAUCUGUGCUGCCUUCAGCAGCUGUGUAAAUACAGCUGGAAACUUGCAAGUGGACAGUGUUGAUUAUCCACUCUUCUUGUAUUUCCUAUUUCAGGAGGAACCAUCAUCAUCUAAGCAGUCAUAGAGCUAGAAACCUGGAAUCAUCUUGGAUUCUUUUCUCCAGCUAAUCCCCAUUACUCUGUUAAACUCCUCAUGAAUUGUGCGAUUCUGCCUUGGAGAAGGCAAUGGCACCCCACUCCAGUACUCUCGCCUGGAAAAUCCCAUGGAUGCAGGAGCCUGGUGGGCUACAGUCCAUGGGG
Molecule: long non-coding RNA, 2006 nt
Organism: Bubalus bubalis (water buffalo)
Lineage: Eukaryota; Metazoa; Chordata; Mammalia; Artiodactyla; Bovidae
Exons: 3
Source: RefSeq, a predicted model, not a curated record